UGGGAAGAAUCAGCUUCUAGGACUAAAGAAAAUGAAACUCUUAAUUUAUAUAUCUUGGAUAACUCAUCUACUCUCUUCUUUUCUUUAUCUUUUUCACUCAAAUUAAAAUCAGCUUUAGUACCAGUUUCGGGCUAAGGUUUUUCUAUUGGAUUAGUGAUGCAUGUUGUAACACAUCAAAAUUAAUCCUACUCAUUAUGAUAUAGAUAGGGUGAGUCAGGAUCGUAUCCACAGGAAUCUUAGUUGAUUGUUUC
Molecule: long non-coding RNA, 251 nt
Filed under: Elaeis guineensis (African oil palm)
Lineage: Eukaryota; Viridiplantae; Streptophyta; Magnoliopsida; Arecales; Arecaceae
Description: long non-coding RNA (EGUI_LNC021222)
Source: RNAcentral